AUGAGGGAACAGGUGUGUGUGUGUGUGUGUGUGUGUGUGUGUGUGUGUGUGUGUGUGUGUGUGUGUGUGUGUGUGUGUGUGUGUGUGUGUGUGUGUCAUCCUCGAGCUUCACACACCGAUGAUUAUCAAAGGAGAGAAUCUCUGGAAAACAUCUCAGACACGAGGGGCACGACAACAUUCCAGUGGCAACCCGCUCACCUCGAGGCGAUGGCACGUUCUGAUACUGUACAUGAUGAUACUGUACAUGAUGAUACUCUACAUGAUGGUACUCUACAUGAUGGUACUCUACAUGAUGGUACUCUACAUGAUGAUACUCUACAUGAUGGUACUGUACAUGAUGAUACUGUACAUGAUGAUACUCUACAUGAUGGUACUGUACAUGAUGAUACUGUACAUGAUGAUACUCUACAUGAUGGUACUCUACAUGAUGAUACUGUACAUGAUGGUACUCUACAUGAUGAUACUGUACAUGAUGAUACUCUACAUGAUGGUACUCUACAUGAUGAUACUCUACAUGAUGAUACUCUACAUGACGGUACUGUACGUGAUACUGUUCAUGAUGAUACUCUACAUGAUGAUACUCUACAUGAUACUGUACAUGAUACUGUUCAUGAUGAUACUCUACAUGAUGGUACUCUACAUGAUGAUACACUACAUGAUGAUACUGUACAUGAUACUGUACAUGAUGGUACUCUACAUGAUGAUACUGUACAUGAUGAUACUCUACAUGAUGGUACUGUACAUGAUGAUACUCUACAUGAUGAUACUGUACAUGAUACUCUACAUGAUGGUACUGUACAUGAUGGUACUGUACAUGACGGUACUGUACGUGAUACUGUUCAUGAUGAUACUGUACAUGAUGGUACUCUACAUGAUGAUACUCUACAUGAUGAUACUGUACAUGAUGGUACUCUACAUGAUGAUACUCUACAUGAUGGUACUGUACAUGAUGGUACUGUACAUGACGGUACUGUACGUGAUACUGUUCAUGAUGAUACUCUACAUGAUGGUACUCUACAUGAUGAUACACUACAUGAUGAUACUCUACAUGAUGAUACUGUACAUGAUACUGUAACUGUAACAGCAGCAGCGCCUGCAGGCGUCCAACGCGCCACGUGUCCACCGGGCUCAGCCCGACCGCCACCAUCUGCCUCCAAGACGAGACUGGCAGCGGUCCUCGUGGUGAAGUACAGCUGGGAGGUUCAGCAGCUGUUAAAGGAGUGUGUGUGUGUGUGUGUGUGUGUGUGUGUUGUUACUGUACGUGAAGAGGAGGAUGGUGGAUUUGAGGGUGGAUGA
This 1296-nucleotide long non-coding RNA is filed under the name Scophthalmus maximus (turbot). RNAcentral's name for it is "lncRNA (ENSSMAG00000031706.1)". The record is from RNAcentral. Lineage: Eukaryota; Metazoa; Chordata; Actinopteri; Pleuronectiformes; Scophthalmidae.